Molecule: long non-coding RNA, 220 nt
Filed under: Elaeis guineensis (African oil palm)
Lineage: Eukaryota; Viridiplantae; Streptophyta; Magnoliopsida; Arecales; Arecaceae
Description: long non-coding RNA (EGUI_LNC058536)
Source: RNAcentral
CUUGUAGGUCCCGGCGGCGGCCGCGAUCCCCUCGACUCCAGCUUCUCCGAUGUCGGCGGAAUUCUGCACCAACAAGGGGGAAUAGAGAAUCUAUCGUUCCCCUCCUAUCUUGAAAUAGGGAACUUCUCCCCCAUGAUAGUGGUGGCCGGAUAAGCAAGCUAGGACGAUGUGAAUGGGGGAUCAUCGACUGGCGGUCGGCGGUGAUGACCGCCAUUGGGAA